UGGGGAAUUUUGGACAAUGGGCGAAAGCCUGAUCCAGCAAUGCCGCGUGUGUGAAGAAGGCCUUCGGGUUGUAAAGCACUUUUGUCCGGAAAGAAAUCCUUGGCUCUAAUACAGUCGGGGGAUGACGGUACCGGAAGAAUAAGCACCGGCUAACUACGUGCCAGCAGCCGCGGUAAUACGUAGGGUGCAAGCGUUAAUCGGAAUUACUGGGCGUAAAGCGUGCGCAGGCGGUUUGCUAAGACCGAUGUGAAAUCCCCGGGCUCAACCUGGGAACUGCAUUGGGUGACUGGCAGGCUAGAGUAUGGCAGAGGGGGGUAGAAUUCCACGUGUAGCAGUGAAAUGCGUAGAGAUGUGGAGGAAUACCGAUGGCGAAGGCAGCCCCCUGGGCCAAUACUGACGCUCAUGCACGAAAGCGUGGGGAGCAAACAGGAUUAGAUACCCUGGUAGUCCACGCCCUAAACGAUGUCACUAGUUGUUGGGGAUUCAUUUCCUUAGUAACGUAGCUAACGCGUGAAGUUGACCGCCUGGGGAGUACGGUCGCAAGAUUAAAACUUAAAUGAAUUGACGGGGUCAUAGCUG
This 579-nucleotide ribosomal RNA is filed under the name uncultured bacterium. Its description in RNAcentral is "partial 16S ribosomal RNA". It matches the Rfam family "Bacterial small subunit ribosomal RNA", at positions 355 to 932 of the family's 1533-position model. The record is from RNAcentral.